CCUACGGGUGGCAGCAGUGGGGAAUAUUGCGCAAUGGGCGAAAGCCUGACGCAGCGACGCCGCGUGAGGGAUGAAGGUCUUCGGAUCGUAAACCACUGUCAGCAGGGAGGAACGGUCACUGUGCUAAUCAGCAGUGAAUUGACGGUACCUGCAAAGGAAGCACCGGCUAACUCCGUGCCAGCAGCCGCGGUAAUACGGAGGGUGUGAGCGUUAAUCGGAAUUACUGGGCGUAAAGCGCUCGUAGGCGGUAUGUUAAGUCAAGGGUGAAAUCCCCGCGCUCAACGUGGGAACUGCAUUUGAUACUGGCAAACUUGAGUGUGGGAGAGGAUAGUGGAAUUCCAGGUGUAGGAGUGAAAUCCGUAGAUAUCUGGAGGAACAUCAGUGGCGAAGGCGACCAUCUGGCACAUAACUGACGCUGAGGAGCGAAAGCGUGGGGAGCAAACAGGAUUAGAUACCCGGGUAGUC
This 465-nucleotide ribosomal RNA is filed under the name uncultured bacterium. RNAcentral describes it as "partial 16S ribosomal RNA". It matches the Rfam family "Bacterial small subunit ribosomal RNA", at positions 338 to 795 of the family's 1533-position model. The record is from RNAcentral.